AGUCACUGUGCCUUGGCCAACCUGCUCCAGCGAUUUCCCUGCCUCUUUACAUCCAGCCCCAACGAGCAACGUUUGUCCAGCCACAGAGGAAAAUGGAGUGAAGGGCAACGGUGUGUCACCACCAACCGGCUCAUCCUGCACCACCAGUGUUCGGCCGUUCUCUUUGGUAUAUACCCUCUGGAAAGGAGUGUUUUUAUUCCUGUACAGAAGUCAACCUUUGAGUAAAACUAUUUCCCAGAAGUGAACAGAACUACAAGAAAGAGACAACGAAGGAUGAGUACACAUUCUUAAGUGAGGUAACUAAAAAACAAACAAACAAAAGAACCCCCAAACAAAACAACACACUGUCCCCUUUGUAAUGCGAAGCAGUUGA
This is a long non-coding RNA of Chiroxiphia lanceolata (lance-tailed manakin), 373 nucleotides long. RefSeq lists it as uncharacterized. The transcript is spliced from 3 exons. NCBI's taxonomy places the organism in Eukaryota, Metazoa, Chordata, Aves, Passeriformes, Pipridae. The record is from RefSeq and is a predicted model, not a curated record.